Molecule: ribosomal RNA, 1061 nt
Filed under: Panorpa meridionalis
Lineage: Eukaryota; Metazoa; Arthropoda; Insecta; Mecoptera; Panorpidae
Description: SSU rRNA
Rfam family: Eukaryotic small subunit ribosomal RNA
Source: RNAcentral
CCAGAGAUGGAAGGAAUGCUUUUAUUAGAUCAAAACCAAUCGGUAGCGGGCUUGCCUUGCAUACCGUUUGAUUUGGUGACUCUGAAUAACUUUGGGCUGAUCGUACGGUCUCGUACCGACGACGCAUCUUUCAAAUGUCUGCCUUAUCAACUGUCGAUGGUAGUUUCUGCGACUACCAUGGUCGUUACGGGUAACGGGGAAUCAGGGUUCGAUUCCGGAGAGGGAGCCUGAGAAACGGCUACCACAUCCAAGGAAGGCAGCAGGCGCGCAAAUUACCCACUCUCGGCACGAGGAGGUAGUGACGAAAAAUAACGAUACGGGACUCAUCCGAGGCCCCGUAAUCGGAAUGAGUACACUUUAAAUCCUUUAACGAGGAUCAAUUGGAGGGCAAGUCUGGUGCCAGCAGCCGCGGUAAUUCCAGCUCCAAUAGCGUAUAUUAAAGUUGUUGCGGUUAAAAAGCUCGUAGUUGAAUUUGUGUCCCAUACUGUCGGUUCACCGCUCGCGGUGUUUAACUGGCAUGAUAUGGGACGUCCUAUCGGUGGGUUCGCCCGUAAAAAGGCAACCCAACUCAAAAUCUCAUCACGGUGCUCUUAAACGAGUGUCGAGGUGGGCCGAUACGUUUACUUUGAACAAAUUAGAGUGCUUAAAGCAGGCUAAAUUUUGCCUAAAUAUUGUGUGCAUGGAAUAAUAGAAUAGGACCUCGUUUCUAUUUUGUUGGUUUUCGGAAUUCCGAGGUAAUGAUUAAUAGGGACAACUGGGGGCAUUCGUAUUGCGACGUUAGAGGUGAAAUUCUUGGAUCGUCGCAAGACGGACAGAAGCGAAAGCAUUUGCCAAAUGUGUUUUCAUCAAUCAAGAACGAAAGUUAGAGGUUCGAAGGCGAUCAGAUACCGCCCUAGUUCUAACCAUAAACGAUGCCAGCUAGCGAUCCGCCAAAGUUCCUCCGAUGACUUGGCGGGCAGCUUCCGGGAAACCAAAGCUUUUGGGUUCCGGGGGAAGUAUGGUUGCAAAGCUGAAACUUAAAGGAAUUGACGGAAGGGCACCACCAGGAGUGGAGCCUGCGG